GAUGAACGCUAGCUACAGGCUUAACACAUGCAAGUCGAGGGGUAACGAGAGGAAAGCUUGCUUUCCUUGUCGACGACCGGCGCACGGGCGAGUAACGCGUAUCCAACCUGCCCCCAACUAGGGAAUAACCUUGCGAAAGUAAGACGAAUACCCUAUAAUUUCCUCAGAUGACAUCUGACGAGGAAUAAAGAUUUAUCGGUUGUGGAUGGGGAUGCGUCUGAUUAGCUUGUUGGCGGGGUAACGGCCCACCAAGGCAACGAUCAGUAGGGGUUCUGAGAGGAAGGUCCCCCACAUUGGAACUGAGACACGGUCCAAACUCCUACGGGAGGCAGCAGUGAGGAAUAUUGGUCAAUGGGCGGAAGCCUGAACCAGCCAAGUAGCGUGCAGGAUGACGGCCCUAUGGGUUGUAAACUGCUUUUAUACAGGAAAAAAGUUAGCCACGUGUGGUUAUUUGUAGGUACUGUAUGAAUAAGGACCGGCUAAUUCCGUGCCAGCCGCCGCCGUAA
Molecule: ribosomal RNA, 506 nt
Filed under: uncultured bacterium
Lineage: Bacteria
Description: partial 16S ribosomal RNA
Rfam family: Bacterial small subunit ribosomal RNA
Source: RNAcentral